This is a non-coding RNA of Mycena leptocephala, 89 nucleotides long. The record is from the annotation of a GenBank genome assembly. NCBI's taxonomy places the organism in Eukaryota, Fungi, Basidiomycota, Agaricomycetes, Agaricales, Mycenaceae.
GCGGACGUGGUGCAUGGUGCACCGCUGUAUUGCAUGAGACGGGGCAGAACUUUGAAGCAGCUGUUGGGGUUCGACUCCCCGUGUCCGCA